This 449-nucleotide ribosomal RNA is filed under the name uncultured bacterium. Its description in RNAcentral is "partial 16S ribosomal RNA". It matches the Rfam family "Bacterial small subunit ribosomal RNA", at positions 29 to 523 of the family's 1533-position model. The record is from RNAcentral.
AACGAACGCUGGCGGCAUGCCUAACACAUGCAAGUCGAACGAGAUCUUCGGGUCUAGUGGCGCACGGGUGCGUAACGCGUGGGAAUCUGCCCUUUGGUUCGGAAUAACAGUUGGAAACGACUGCUAAUACCGGAUGAUGACGAAAGUCCAAAGAUUUAUCGCCAGAGGAUGAGCCCGCGUAGGAUUAGCUAGUUGGUGUGGUAAAGGCGCACCAAGGCGACGAUCCUUAGCUGGUCUGAGAGGAUGAUCAGCCACACUGGGACUGAGACACGGCCCAGACUCCUACGGGAGGCAGCAGUGGGGAAUAUUGGGCAAUGGGCGAAAGCCUGAUCCAGCAAUGCCGCGUGAGUGAUGAAGGCCUUAGGGUUGUAAAGCUCUUUUACCGGGGAUGAUAAUGACAGUACCGGGAGAAUAAGCUCCGGCUAACUCCGUGCCAGCCGCCGCGGUAA